AUUUAUAUAGUUUACAAUAAAACAUUCUAUUUUCAAUAGAAAAAUAAGAUAUAUUUAUCUUUAUAAAUA
This 69-nucleotide transfer RNA is filed under the name Himacerus apterus. RNAcentral describes it as "tRNA-Glu". Lineage: Eukaryota; Metazoa; Arthropoda; Insecta; Hemiptera; Nabidae. The record is from RNAcentral.